Molecule: long non-coding RNA, 1475 nt
Organism: Venturia canescens
Lineage: Eukaryota; Metazoa; Arthropoda; Insecta; Hymenoptera; Ichneumonidae
Exons: 2
Source: RefSeq, a predicted model, not a curated record
GAGCGUCAAAAUGUCAAUGUUUCCUGAAAUCUUAUUUAUUCGUCAAGAAAGAAGUUAUGAAAAGUGUUCAAAUGGCAAUUCAAUCGAGAAAGGUGGUCGAACAUUUGAGUAAAAAGCUUUCAUAUUGUUCUGUAUGGUGCCUAUCAGUUCGUUCGUCGCACCGUACACACUGUUGCCACUAGUCGUCACAGCUGGUCAUGGGCCCGUUCCACGUCACGCUGCGGAGGAAGCGAGACGAAGUGCGAGGCUUCGGAGCAUCGCGUUAAUCGUUUUCCGAGCUCUCCUCAUCCUCAAACGCAACCAACACAUUGGAUUCGUCACGAAAGCAAUUAUUUCUACGAAUCGAAUAUCCAACGAAUCAACGCAACGUAUCGAGUCUUCGAGAACCCAAGUGUCGUGCGAGUGCGCACAGGGAAUUCCAAUUCAGUCUGGCAAGUGACGUUUAUGUUGCAUCAGAUGUUGAAAGCGCUGCAUUCAAAAUUCCAACUUUUUACUCGUCUCACAAAAGUGAUGAAAUCGUCAGAAAUCUUACGAAAAUGUAGGCCCGGCGGGCCUCGGGCCACCGCACGACGGAGCUGUCAACGUGUACUUGGUCCGGGACUCUGCCGAGUUUCUUGAUAACGCAGUUGACAGUUUCCCACGUUACACAAUCACUCGCUCGAGUUCAAAUUGAUAAGAAGUGCAGCUCCAGUGCUUCGGUGUUCGAGGGCCUACUGUUGCAGUCUCUGGUUCGAGAUUAUUUCGAUUCUCAACAGACACGAACGGGUUUUUCAGGAAAAUAUUUAAAAGUCUUUGGUACCGUUGAGUUUUUUUCCAUCACCAGGAAUUGGUUCUGAUCGGCCCUUCGCGUUUUCGAUGCAGAACGCAUUCCGCAACGAAGCCUUUUGUUUUGCAACGAUGUCGUUGGCAAUUGUCCCAGAAUUAUACGAAAACGCUUUUUUCGCACAAUAGAAAAGCGAUGAACUUGAAACAUCCAUUUUUUCUAUGUCAAUCCUCCCUCCCACUGAUUCCAGCUCAACGGGCCAGCCGAAUCUCGAGAUACCGGGCUCGCCCAUCAAUGAAACAUAUUUUAGAAAAAAAGCCUCUUUGCAGUACUCGACACAGCUUUUUUUCGGAAAAAGCUGUCGAGAUGUCGGAAUAAAACAAAGUUCAAGAUUCCCUCGCAUCGCUUUCCUCUGCAUUGAAUUUUCAGUUGACUGGUACAAAGUUGUUCCCACUCAACAAUUUUUACAAAAGUAUCACAAAUUUAUCGAUUCCCAGCCGUUUCGAAUAGCCAGUGAAUCGAACUCGAAUAUAGAGAAACGGUGAGAAUACUCAGACACAAAAAACAAAGAAGCUGACAAUCGAAAGCGUCGGUGAGGAAAAUGGCAAUUUUUCCGUGACCCACGUGUGUUUACGUGUACAUAAAAGCUGUUUGAUUGAACGAAUCGCACGCGCGCUUAAAUAAAUGAGUAAUCGUCUGUGACCUUUUCUUA